This 434-nucleotide ribosomal RNA is filed under the name uncultured bacterium. RNAcentral's name for it is "partial 16S ribosomal RNA". It matches the Rfam family "Bacterial small subunit ribosomal RNA", at positions 29 to 507 of the family's 1533-position model. The record is from RNAcentral.
AGCGAACGCUGGCGGCAGGCCUAACACAUGCAAGUCGAACGAACCUUUCGGGGUUAGUGGCGGACGGGUGAGUAACACGUGGGAACGUGCCUUUAGGUUCGGAAUAACUCAGGGAAACUUGUGCUAAUACCGAAUGUGCCCUUCGGGGGAAAGAUUUAUCGCCUUUAGAGCGGCCCGCGUCUGAUUAGCUAGUUGGUUGAGGUAAUGGCUCACCAAGGCGACGAUCAGUAGCUGGUCUGAGAGGAUGAUCAGCCACAUUGGGACUGAGACACGGCCCAAACUCCUACGGGAGGCAGCAGUGGGGAAUCUUGCGCAAUGGGCGAAAGCCUUACGCAGCCAUGCCGCGUGAAUGAUGAAGGUCUUAGGAUUGUAAAAUUCUUUCACCGGGGACGAUAAUGACGGUACCCGGAGAAGAAGCCCCGGCUAACUUCGUG